This 43588-nucleotide long non-coding RNA is filed under the name Lactuca sativa (garden lettuce). RNAcentral's name for it is "long non-coding RNA (LSAT_LNC007426)". The record is from RNAcentral. Lineage: Eukaryota; Viridiplantae; Streptophyta; Magnoliopsida; Asterales; Asteraceae.
CAACUAUAUAUACAACACAAAAGAGACAAACAUUCUCUCUCUCAAAAAUACCAAAAAGACCAAAUACCCGAACACAUUUAUAACUCCUAGCUAAAACCGAUAUUGCACUCUUGGUAGCUAAAGAGACCGUUGAUCUGACCUGUCAGACAGAUCUGUCUGACAGGUCAGAUCAGACGGUAGAGGAUCAGAUCUCACAGGUCGUAAGGAGCACGAGGGCUCCGGGUUCCAAUCCCGCUUGCCUUCUCGAAAGCGUCCGAUGCAGACUUCCUACGAAACCUAAAUGCCUCUGAUCUGCCUCCUGACCAUCCACCAUUUUCAUUAGCUCACAUAUUAUCAAAUAUUAAUGCAACCAUGCAAUCUAUCAAACACUCUUAUAGUUUUCAUACAAUAAUUUUAAAUUAUUCUUCAUCAAAUCUUUUUUCUUUCAUGCAUCACAUAUUAAUUAUUCUUGAGCGAAUAGAACUAAACACUAAUUAGAUUAUAAAUUCUUUCCCUAUUUGCCCAAUUAUGGUAUAUUUAAUCAACUUACUAAAUCAAUUUUCGUCUUGUAGGGUUUGUGAAUUAUUUAAUAUUUAUGUUCACUAUAGUGGACAAUAAUUCCAAUUAUUAUUAACAAUGUCAUUUUCAUGGUGGUAGAUGGGAGAUAAAUUUAUAAUUGCAAUUUGCAAAGAAAGAGACAAAUAUGCAUCAGUGUUUUCCAACAUCCUACUAGAAAUAGUCAAAUGCAGUUGUAAUUACUAAAUUACCCUUGCUCCAAUUACCCAGGAUCAUUCUAGAUCACUGCAGCUGGAAGGUCUAUCUCAGGUAAAAUGAUAAAAACGUACUUCUUACCAGGGAAAGGAGAUACCGGAGUUGUAGAUCCGGCGGGAGAUGCCGGCGGUGUGUCGCUCAGAGUUCUUUCAGGUUUUACGAUCAUUAUACUUCGUGUUACUCUCAUCGCAGGAUCCUCUACUGCCGUAUUCGUCACCGGCGGCGAUUCUGCUUCAGAGAGAGUAAAUGAAUUCGUUCAGUUUGAGUACAGACGAUUACACUUUUGGAUUCAAAUCUUUUGUGAAAAAAAUUAGUUUUUUUGGUUUGAUACACAUAAUCUCCGACGUAAACCCUAGGUUUCAGGAUCUCGAUUUAUCCAUAAUAAUACUUCAAAACUUUGGCCACUGAUCAGUAUCAGAAUUUAUCAUACAAUAAGAAAAGGAAUCAAUUAAAUAAUACUAUAAGUAUUUGAUUAAUUAUAAUUAAAGCAAAAUUCGCGCCAAAAUAAAACCUGAUGAUCACAAUAAGCGAUUGAGAUCAAGAGGACUUUAACUAUUAAGAUAACGGAAUUUUCUAAGUAAAAGGUUAUAAUAAUUAUAUGUGUUAACAUAUUCUUUAACAAAUUGUACAGUUCAAAAGCGGCAGGUAACAGCGUACCCUUGCCGGAAUCCGAUGACCGGAAACUAAAAGUAGACUGUUUUCGCAGCUUUCCGAGGCCCUUAUCCGGCCGAGGUCCGGCGACUGUGUCAUCCCAGAGUUGGUCGAGUAAACUCAUAGCAAGAAGAUGAAUAGAUGAUCUAACAAACACUCGUAAACCCCUCCGAUGAAGAUUGAGUGGUUUCAGAGAGUGGCUAUGGUGGUAUUUAUUGACGAACAUGGAUUAAACGUCGAAUAAGUCGUUUAUACUGGUAUUUGAUCGUGGCCGUUGAUUUUGGAUACGGUAUACCUUUAUACGCGUAAAGAUAAGAUCAGUGUCAAAAAUUAGAUGAGAUUGCCACGUGACAGGUCUAUUUAGUAGAGGUAAAAGGUCACGAGGGCCCUUUACUUUAUUCAUUUUGAAUGGGCAUUGCCCUUGAUUUAUGUGAAAAUUACGAGAAUGGGACUGAUGGUCUGGCCGCCAUUGCAGUGUUGACACGUAUAAAUCACUUUUGGGGAUGUUAAUGUGGGUACCCUUGUACGUUGGUUAAAUUUUCAACAAUGCCCUUAAGGUCUUGGUAAUCACAAAUAGGCACCCAAUAAAGUUAUACAUGUAAUUGGAUGGGGUUGGAUAAAUCAAGGGCACCCAAUAAAGUUAUACAUGUAAUUUUCAACAAUGCCUUAAGUACUUCUCUUAAUUUGUUCAUUCGAGUGUGAUAAUAUAAAACACAACUUCCGUAAACAACUUCUAAAGGGAAGCAAACAAGGUAUUGGAUCAUCAAAAGUGUCCGUUGUCGAAGAGCACGAAAAGUGAAAUUGCUAAAUAAUUUUUAGGGUUAGGUGUGUUUAUACCAAAGAUAAGAUAUACAUUUGUAAGGGUCAAAAUAUUGUAAAAGUGGAAGUGUAUGUUUUGUAUUUCGUAUGUAUUUACUAAGGCACUUGUUUAAUCGAAACGUAAUGUUGAGUCCUUAGUAUUUUUUGUACUUUCAGUAUCCUAUAAAUAGGGUCUAAACUUGAGUGUAAGUAAGAGGGUUUUCCCACUUCUGUUAUCUGUUUUGUACUCAAGUUCAUUGAAAGUAAUAGAAGCUGAAACCAGAUCAUAUUUACAUCGUAUGUUCUUUACUUGAUCAUUACUUAAAUUACUCUGAUUUACAUUUGAUUACUCAUUUCAAUUCAUCUACAAUUGGUACCAGAGCAGGAAUCAACCUGCAAUGAUCUGAUUUUCUUUUGAAUCGUUUGUUUUUUAGUCAAAAUUUUGUCUCAAAAGAUUCCGCACAUUUCGAUUCUGAAAAUCGUCUUAGAUCUACAGUUUUGGUUAGAUUCUGUGUUCGAAUUGUAUAAUCGAGUGAUCGAUUUCUGUAACGCCCGUAGAUCCUGGCUAGUCAAUUUAGAAACGAUAAACAUUAAAAAUGACUUUUUUAUGGAAUAUUAUUUAUAAGGAGUAAUCUUAACUAAGUUGUACUAUAUGUUACAAGGAUUCCGUACAUAUAAAGAACGCCGAAAUCCGAGUUAUAACAAAGAAGUUAUGACCUGACGAAGUUUCGCGACAGAACCGGCACGACACAACGCGACGUAAAUAGUGAAUUUAUGUUAGAGCGACAUUUAGCCUUAGUGAUCUAAACGAAAAUUGUAGAAUACGUUAAAACGAGAGCGUGCAUAAAAAGAAUGUCUAAAUCUGACUUCGUAUGUGGAAGUUAUGAUUUUUCUAAGUUUCGACUUAGCGGUAUGCAGCCCGAAGUUCGGAUUUGAGAUCGAGGGAUUUCUACCCAAAACAAGCUAAACAAGAAUCGAAGAUCUCGUCGAUAGUAGUCCAACGGUAGAAAGACAGACGAAAACAGACGUCAGAUGAAGAAGUUAUGAUUUUCUAACGGAGUUUUCCAGUCCCGACCUACUAAAAAUAAUAUAAUAAAAAUAAAACUCAAAAUUAGCCAACAGAGUCUAAACGAAAGUUGUAGAGCAUAAUCUCACCUACACGUGGAUAUAAAGAACGUCGAAAACGAAGAUCGUAUGCGAAAGUUAUGAUUUUCUGAAGUUCGAGGCAUGCAUCCCAAAGAGGGAACGCCCCGCGUUCAGUACAUGGCUCCGGAUUGGCCACGUCGAUGCUGACUCAGCGGAUAAGGGAUAGGAUCAGAACCCCACUCCUACGCGCUGCAUUCGUGUGGAACGCACUGCAUCGGGGAACACCAUGCGUUCCCAGAAGGAACGCAUUGCGUUCGAGGCCGACUUCAGCACUAUAAAUAGAUCGCUUGGGCAGCCGAGAUUUGUUGCUCAUUUCUUCUCUCACUCCUUAUUGCAUCGUUUUGCGUGCAAUUUAUAUCCCCGAAGCCCCGGUAUCAUCCCGACACCUGAAGCAAGUCUCGAAGCCCCGAGAAUCCCGAGAAGUAAAGUUUUCGAGUCGAAACUCUGCCCGCGUAAAGCCCGGUUUUGGAGAAAACGUCCCAGUUUUAUCGGAAAUGAUUAUUUUAAGAAACGAGGUGCUGUCUGAUCAUCAUCUUAUCAAGUGAGUGUGUAGUUACUUUCUUCUAACCCAUAAAUAUGAAGUAUUUGCUAUGAAAUACAUGCUAUGUGUUAUGUAUUGUUUGUUUAUUUGAGAUGGGUGUGGAAAGGAUGUUUUAUACAGGUUUUAAUAAUUUAAACCGUAUAUGUAUUUUAUAUCUACAAAUAUGUUGGGUAGAACAUGGGUAGAUGAAAUAUUUGGUGACUAUAUGACGUAGCGCCAGCUAAGUGAACCUUGGUGACUAUGGAGUUAGCGCCAGUUAAGUGAGCCUUGGUGACUAUGGAGUUAGCGCCAGUUAAGUGAGCCUUGGUGACUAUGGAGUUAGCGCCAAUUGACUGAACCUUGGUGACUAUGGAGUUAGCGCCUGUUAAGUGAACCUUGGUGACUAUGGAGUUAUCGCCUAAUAGCUAUGGAUUUAGUACCUGAUAGAUAAACUUUGGCAGCAAUGGACUUUGUGUCAAUUCCUUAGGUCAAUCCUUAGGAACGAAUGAAUGAAGGAUAAUUGACUCUUAGGGUAACGCUUUAAGAAACAGAAAGAUAUAAUGGGGAUGGGUAAUUUGGGUUGAUUGUCUGAUGAUUAAAUAUAAUAUAAUAUAUUACUGUGGGUUGAAAACCCUAUAUGCUCACCAGGCUCCCAAGCCUGACCCACUCAGUUUUCUUUGCAUUACAAGUAAUGACACAAGAGUAUAAGUUGGUGUACUUGACGAGAGAUUUUGGAUUAUAAAUCAGUAGUUAUAAAUAACUAUUUUAAGGUCUAUUUUAUAUUGUUUAUGCUUUUGGUCUGUAUCGGAACAUGACAUCCCGAGAUUUUGUUAUUUAAUGAAAAUACAUUUCUUUAAAGAAAUGCUUUGAUAAAUUCUCAUCAUAUUUUGUUUUGGGAACAAAUUCCGCAACUCUUUUAAUCAAAGAUUACUCUGAUUUUGUAAAACAAAGCAUAAACAAAUCGGUCUUUAAUGGUCGUGAAAAUUGGGGAUGUCACAAUUUCAAGUUUCUGAUCAAUUUUCAAGUUUCUCAAGAUUUCUGAAAAUUCUCAUCCGUACAACAAUGUCGAACUUCAACAUGAACACGAUGACAUCGUAUUCUCAUCUGCUUGGAUCAUAAAAAAAAAUUCCAAUGUUGAUUCCAGAUUACUACGAUCAAUGAACGGAUCGUAUGGAAGACUAUCUCAAUGGAUUGGAUGAAGAGUUGUGGAAUUGUAUCAAAUGAAGUGUUCAACCACCACCAAAUUCUCAAAAUUUAGGAUCAUCUGGAUCAACUUCUGUAGUAGAAGAACAAUCAACAAGGCUGAAAAACAAUGAGAAGCGUUGUAUGAGAGAGCUGAGAGGUGCUUUGCCACCUAUUGUUUACAACUACAUCCGUGGUUGUAAAACUGCAAAAAGAUAUCUGAAAUACUCUUAAGGAAAAGUAUUAGGGAAGCGCGAAAACGAAGAUUAAUUCAGUUAAGCAGUGUCUUGUGGAACUGAAGGAGUUCAGACAAAAAGAGAAUGAAACGAUUGAGGUUUACUAUGAUCGUUUUAAUGAAUUAAUCUAUCGAUACAAUCGUUAUGGAAUCACAAGGUCAUCUAUGGAGUUCAAUCUCACUUUUGUGAUGGGACUUCGUAAGGAGUGGAGAAGUGUAAGCAUGAUGGUGAAGAAUCAACAAAGCUUCGAUACUUCAUCGUUGAAUGAUGUGGUCCUUUAGCUCUAGUUUCGAAAAUGUAUGAGAAGGAAGAAGAAGAGAAAGAUGAUUCUGAUGAAGAAGGUUUUAUGAUAAAUUCUGAUGAUGAAGCGAUAACAUAUUACUCGAACAACCGAGUGAAGAAGUUUUUCAAGAAACCGUUUAAUCCGAAGGUGAAGCAGAGUGAAGUAAAGGGAAACUUUGUGAGCAAGUCUGGUGCUAAGGAAAAGAAAAAGUUUGAGAAAAAUGAUGAGAAAGCAAAAGAGUCGGAGAAUGAAAAGAAGCUUAAGGGAGACUCAUGUGUUGAUUGUCAUUAAUCUAAUGGAGCAAAUCAUUUAGAAAAUGAUUGUAUGCUUCUUAAGAAGGAUGAUAGGAAGAAUAAAGUCAAGGACGAAGCUUAUUAUGUGGAAAAGCUGGAGGAAGUUCGUGCAAAAGCUAAAGGACCGUCUUUGGUUGCACGAGGAGAGGCUGAAGAGGAUGGGACAUAUCAAAUCUGGUCCUCGGGUUCUGAUGAUGAAGAAAUGCGAAAUCCAACUCAUGGAGCUAUGUUUGCAUAGUUUGAGGAGGACAAGAAUGAAAAGGUGACUGGUUAUUGUUUCAUGACUAAAUCUGGAGACAAAUCACCAAUGACUACAAAGGUACGUUCUAUUCUUCAAUCUUUUAAUAUUCCUCUACAAGCUUAUGAUUCUGAGAUAGUUGCAUUUGAUGAUACUGUUGCUUAUUUCGAUACUAUUGUUGUGUCAGCUAGUAACAAAGCCAAGAAAUUAAGUACUCAACUGCUAGAGACCCAAAAACUUCUAGAUUCGAAACGUAGCAGGGUAGAGUAUUUAGAAUUGCAAAUAAAAAUGUCAAUAAUGAUAGAGAGAAUUUGGAUAGAGAUGUAAGGAUGUUGCUUGCACAAAGAAACAUAUAUUGUAAUUCGGCUAAACGUCUCUAUGCUAAAUUGACUGCAUUACGAUAUUAGUAAAGAAAAACAUAAGAAAUUAUUACCUUUUCUUACUUUUGAGAAAGAGAGAGAGAAGGUUGAUAUUUUGUACUAUGAUUGUGAAGAAACCAUAACAGACUUUAACAAAGAACCUGAUGAUAGAUUUGCUUAUGGUAUUGUUAAGAUAGAUGAAUUUCUGAAUGCUGAUGAACUUGUUGAGAUUGUGAAUGAAAGUUUGACAAAAAGUGAACAAAUCAAAAUUUUGAAAAGAACUGAGAAUUCGAAACUUGACUCUCAAUCUAAUUUUGCUGAUAUCGAAGAUAAUUUUGAUUGUUUUAGCGAAAUCAGUGAAUUUGAGGAGGAGGAAAGUGUCGAUUGUUCUCAGUUAUCAAUCAUUAAUGUCACAUCUAAGUCAAAAGGUAAAGAAAUUUAUAAUUAUUCGAUGGUUGAGAAUGACACUGAUAAACCCUCUACUUCAAAAGUCUAUGAUUUUGAUGAUGUGGAUGUAAGAGACAGUCAAACUGAUGAUAGUGAAGACGAGAAUGAAGAAGAUAUGUCGAACAAUUUUGAAAAAGAAAAGAAUGUUUCUAACUUAAUAAAAAUUCCAUGAAUUAUUGUUGAUCAAGUGUUUGGAGACACUGAAAAUUUCGACAGUGUUAUCUGACAAAGGUGCUCACUAUUUGGAAACCAACGCAGUGGUUUAUUCGAAUUUCAAGUGCACAGAUGAUGUAGUAUUUCCAAAUCAAGUGUUUGUCACUACUGGGAAUGUGGAAAAUAUGAAACGUGAAUUCAACAAAUUGGUUGAAGAAGAUAGCAAGAAAACAUCAAACGAAGGAUUCUUUUCAAAUCAAAGCACUGUCGAAAAUAAUCUAACAAAAAAUUCGUAUGUUUUUCAAAGACAAAAACCACAACGAAAAUGCGUUGAAAACGAGAAGUUACAAAAGAAAUUUUGAAACAAGAACCAAGUGAAACAAAUGAGAAUGUGAAACUUAAUUCACAAGAAUUUAAAGAUCUUGUUGACAAAUUUUUGAAAGAAAAAGGAAUUUCAAAAAGAUAGGCGAGACAGAGAAUGUUGUGGCAUAUUGUGACAAAUGAAAAGCAAUUAAAUGAACCAACAAAGAAAAUGUCUCAGAAUAAGUUGACUAAAACUGUUCAGUCAAGGUUUUCAACUUAUUUAGACAAAAAGAAAAAUCCCGCUCCAUCGAUUCCGUAUGAAUAUCCAAAGUCAAAUUCAAAAAAUUUUCCAACGGAGUUUUCAAAAUCCUCAUCACCAAAGAUUUUUCAAACAAAUAAUUCUCAAAAGCAUUCUUAUUCAAACAUUCAUCAAAAAUUUUCAAAUUCACAUUCAUCUUUCACAAAAUCAACAAAUGUAAAAAACAGAUUUUUUUCAAAAAGGACAAAUCAAAAGUUUGAGAAUAUUUGAAAAUAUGAGAAUGUUCGAAAAUUUGAAAAUCUUAGAAAAUUUGAAAAUGUUUGAAAAUUUGAAAACAAUCAAAAAUUUGUAAAAGAAAUUUCCAAGAGAACUUUAAAGUUUAUUACACAAAAGCCAAAUUUUCCAAAUCCGUUUGCACAAAAAGAGACCAAUGUUUCAUAUACAAAAGGUAAAUCUAAAGUGGAAACCAUAAAUCAUUGGCUUGAAAACAAUGGGAAAAAGUAUCAAUUUGGGAAGUUUUCGCAACAUCAAUUGAAAAAGGCCUAUGAACAGUAUUUGAAUGAUACUUCAGUUGGAAGUUCAUCUUCGAAAGAGUCAAAUACUCUAGUUCAAAGAUGGCAACCAAUCUCACAAGAAAAACAAUUAACGAAACAUGAGAAGAAAGUUGGUGAAAGUCCAAAACUAUCGAAAAAUUAUAUUUCGAUAUCUUUAACUGAUGAUGUUAACUUAAUUGAUUCUUUCAAAACUAAAGUUCGAAGCUGGGCUUUAAAUUCUAAAAUUCAUUCUCUUUUUCAAGCUAAUAACCAAGGACCCAAACAGCCUUGGGUACCUAAAUUCUUUCAAUGAUUGCAGUGCUAUGUGAUGAACAGUAUGAUGAGAAAUGGUAUAUUGAUAGUGGUUGCUCACGCCACAUGACUGGAAGGAAGGAGAAUUUGCGUGGUUUUCGAAGUUUAGAAAAUGCUGGUGUAGUGAAGUUUGGAAAUAAUCAUAAAUGUCAAGUUAAAGGUUAUGGAAAAGUAACGAAUGAUCAAUUUAUAGUGAAUCAUGUUGCUUAUGUGGAAGGUCUUCAACAUAAUUUGAUAAGUGUUUCACAACUUGUUGUGGGCACUUGCAAUCAAGUUGUGUAUAACGAAGAAGGAGGCAUCAUUUCAAAUGUCGAGACAAACAAAUUAUUGUUGAAAUCAAAAAGAUAUGGAGAUAUGUUUACCUCGACAUCAAACCCAUAAUUGGAAAACCAUUAGUUUGUCUACUUUCGAAAGCUCCCACAAAUGUUAGCUGGUUAUGGCAUUGACGUUAUCUCAUUUAAACUUUCGAAAUUUAAAUAAAUUGGUUGCAGAAGAUCUUGUUCGAGGUUUACCUGUUCGAAAUUUAAAUAAAUUGGUUGCAAAAGAUCUUGUUCGAGGUUUACCUGUGUUAAAGUUUGAUAAUGAUACUUUAUGUGCAACUUGUGAACAAGGAAAACAACAUCGUAAAGGGCAUCCAAUUGUCAUUGAUUCGAAAAUUAUUGAACCAUUGGAACUUCCUCAUAUUGACCUUUGUGGACCAUCAACUGUUGAAACUCUCAACAAGAAACGGUACAUUUUGGUUAUUGUUGAUGAUUUUUCAUGAUUUACGUGGGUGUAUUUUCUCAGGUUAAAAUCUGAAGUUGCUCAAACAAUGAUAGAAUUUAUCAAGAAAAUUGAGAUAAGUCUGAAGAAGUAAGUUAGAAAAAUCAAAAGUGAUAAUGGUUCUGAGUUUAAGAACAAAGUGUUGGAUUCGUACUUAACAGAAAAGGAAUUUUGCAUAACUUGUCUGCGCCCUAUACACCUCAACAAAAUGGAGUAGUCGAAAGGAGAAAUAGGUCACUUUGUGAAGUGGCAAGGACGAUGUUGACAUAUGCGAAUCUUCCUCAAUAUUUAUGGGCAGAAGCAAUUUCGAUAGCAUGUUUUACUCAGAAUAGAUCUUUCAUUCAUAAAUGUUUCAAUAUAACUCUGUAUGAAAUAAUCAAUAACCGAAAACCUAAUGUCAAAUUCUUUCAUGUUUUUGGUUGUAGGUGUUUUAUAAUGAAUCUCAAAGAUAAUCUUUCAAAAUUUCAAGCUAAGGCCGAUGAAGGAAUAUUUUUGGGAUAUUCGAACAAUUUGGUUGCAUAGAGAGUGUUAAACAAACGAAGUCGAAAAGUUGAAGAAACGUUUAAUCCCACUUUUGAUGAUUACUACGUGAAACAAGUAGAAAAACAAUUUGAACAAAAACCAAUUCUUAAUGAAUCAACUGAUGAAGCUGAAGAAUCUAGUUCAUCUGACUUUGAUUAUGAUUUAAUUUUUGGUGUUCCGCACAGGGCUGUUGAUGCUGGAGUACAUGCUGCUGAUAAUCAAACUCCUGAAUCUUUGAAACAUACUAAUGAUUCGACAAUCACCUCAGAUUUAACUGUUAAUGGAGAAAGCAUGCUAGAUGCUCAAGUGGAGGGGGAGCACUUGAAUAUACCUUUAACUGUUGAGGGGGAGCAUUCUUCCGAGGGGGAGAAUAACAGUAUGAAUGAACUCUUUGAGGGGGAGCAUCAGAAUGAUAGUCUUGCCGAGGGGGAGCAUGAUGAUACUGAAACCAUAAAUCAUGAUCAAAAUGAUGAAUUUCAUGACCUAAAAUGAUAAUAUUUUUUUUGCAGGAUCCGAAAAUGAAGAGAUGUACGAAGAUGCACCUUUGGACUUUGAUCUAGCAUAUCGACCAUUGGAAAAGUGGACAAGAAAUCAUCCGAAAGAACAAGUCAUUGGAAAUCCACAUGAUGGUGUUUUGACAAGAGCUCAAAUUUGUGCAAAGAAUGAGGUACUGAGUACUCAUCAAGAAUUUUGCAUGUUUAAUGUUUUCAUCUCCAAAAUAGAACCAAAGACAGUUAAGGUUGCAAUGGAGCACUAUGAUUGGGUUGUUGCAAUGAAAUUUGAAUUGGAUGGAUUUGAACGAAACAAGGUUUGUAGAUUAAUUCCUAAACCUAAUGAUGUUUCUAUUGUCGGAUUAAAAUGGAUUUUCAAAAACAAAACCGACAAAGAUGGAAAUAUUAUUCGAAACAAAGCAUGAUUAGUUGUUAAAUGUUAUUCGCAACAAGAAGGUAUCGAUUAUGAAGAAACCUUUGCCCCUGUCGCAAGAUUCAAGGCUGUUCGAAUAUUUUUGGCUUAUGCAGCUCAUAAAGAUUUUGAUGUUUAUCAAAUGGAUGUAAAAUGUGCAUUGCUUAAUGGUGAACUCGAAGAAACGGUGUAUGUAGAACAACCUCCAGGUUUUGUUGACGAAAAACAUCCUGAUCAUGUUUAUAUUUUAGAUAAAGCUGUAUAUGGGUUAAAACAAGCACCAAGAGCAUGGUAUGCAACUCUUACCAGUUUCUUAAAACAAUCGAAAAUUAAACAAGGAUCAGUUAACCCCAGAUUAAUUCAAAAGAAAGUUGGGAAUCAUCUAAUGCUUGUUCAAAUUUAUGUCGAUCAUUAUUUUUGGCUCUACUGAUCCCGCUUUGUCUUGUGAAUUCGAAAGCCUGAUGAAAAGUCAAUUCGAAAUGAGCAUGAUGGGUAAAAUCAAUAAUUUUCUUGGUUUAAACAUUCAUCAAAUCAGAGAAGGAAUUUUCAUCAAUCAAGAAAAAUAUACAAGGAAUUUGCUCGAAAAAUUUGGGAUGAUGAAUAACAUGAAGUUAAGAGUGCCAAUGGCAGUUGGAAAAAGGCUAACACCUUUGUUAGACAAACCUGUUGUUGAUCUUACUUUAUACAGAAGUAUGAUAGGUUCAUUGCUUUAUCUUAUAGCAAGUAGACCUGAUAUCAUGUUUUUCGUAUGUAAUUGUUCUAGGUAUCAAGCAAAUCCAAGAGAACCACACUUGACUGCAGUGAAAAAUAUUUUUCGUUAUCUCAAGGGAACGAUUUCGUUAGGAUUAUGGUUGUUGGGUUUUGAGCAUUCUAACACUUCCUAAGUGUACAUGCAACCCUAAAUACCUUGGAUCUAUGUUUUCUCUAUUAUACAUGCAAAUAAGAACUUCCAAGGUAUUAUCCUAAUCUAGCAUAUAAAACAAUGGAUAUAGUAGGAUAGAAUACAUACCUUUUUGGUGUAGUAAGUCUUCAUGAAGCUUGAGUGCUUAGUGCCCCAAGUGUGACACCUCAAAUGGAAUCACAAUCAUCAAAACACUUGGAAUGACUUGAGAGAAUUCUACACUCAUCAAAAUCGGCUAGCCCUUUCUUCACUAUCUCUAGUGGCCGAUUUUUCCUCAAUAAUAAGAUGCUUAUAUAGUUACACAAUUAGGGUAAACUCUUAAUUGUCAUGGCUUUCCAUUUCCUUGGAUCCAUGGGUACAAAUACACCAUGGAGCAUCCAUGGACCAUCCUAUGGGUUUUAGCCCAACUUGAUUAUCCAUGGAGCAUUAGCCCACUAUACAAGUAUGGAUGAUUUACACAAUCAACCCAUAUAUUUAAUUAGUCUUCUUUUGAUCACUUAAUUAAUCCUAGAUUAAUUCUUGAUCAAUACUAAUUAAAUAAUCUUAUUAUUCUUAUUAUUAAUAUACUAGAACUUAUAAUAUAUUAAUAACCAUAAGUGUCUUAUUUCUCUCAUUAUAGUCUAUCCAAGUGCAUGAUGGUAUGCAACCCAAAUGGACCAUGCCGGGUCGGGUCAAGUCUUACCAAUUAUAGUUAUGGACUUAGACAUUAAUCCAACAGUCUCCCACUUGGAUAAGUCUAAAACUAUUAUUGCGUAUGACUUCAGGAACCAACUGGCAAUCGUAGCUCUCAAAAGCUUCUGUCGAACUCUGACCUUGUAGAUGAACUCUGACCUUUGUCAAUGACUUGUCCAUUAGAUAAGGGAUCAUAUAUUCCUCCAUUCUAGAUAUCAUAUGGACUGAGACAUGGAUUAUAAUCAUUCUCUCUGUCCAUUUGUUGUUUCCCGAUUUCCGAUUUAUGACGACUGACUAAUUGAACAAAUCAAAUCAGUCCUGGCCCGGCCGAGCACUUCCAUUUGUCAUCAUCAAAUCAUCGAGGGGCCCACAGAUAUCGCUUUUAUCCCGAAGGUAAAAGGAAUGGAUAAACUUCGACUCAUAUGGCUUGUUCUACUACUUGUUGAAUCAUACACAAAGGCACGUUUUAUAGCACCGAGUUACCAAAUGCGUUUUCGUGCAAUCAAUGUACUAUCAACUCAUAGUAACAACUCAUAUCUCUAGGUUUGAAGAAUAUAAGAUAUUAUCGUCUCAUGAUCACUCGUGAUAAAAUCCAUGAAGUGAUUCCAAUGAGCGCGGGUUGAAUCCAAUACUCAGAACUUAUGAGCACUCAUGAGUGUUGUAGCCCUUUGUCCAACACCUUAGACCUCUACAAGCCAACCCAUGACAGUCUUAAUUCAUAUCUACUUCCAACAUAUGACCGACUGUGGAUGGUUUGAAUAACUUAGUCAUUCCGGAAGAAUAACCCAGUUUAUUCGGGAAGUCAAAACAUGCAAAAUGAAACACAAUAAUAAUUGAAUCCAAUAUGGUAUCAACCCUUUGAACAUAAAUAAAACACCUUUUAUUUAUCACCAUAUGAUUACACAUUAUUCAUUGUAUACUGUUUCAGCUAUCAACUUUAUUCUUGAAUUUAAAACAAUAGUUGUCCCAUGCUCCAAGCAUGUACACUAUGUUUUCUUAAACACUAGUCAUGCCACACACCAAGUAUGCAUACUAUGUUUGUCUAUGAUCUUUACUUUGUGAACUAGAUCAAUUGAACAUAACUUCAAUGAUUCUCUUUUCACACUCCCAAAUCCUUACUGCAAAUGCAAGAAUUCCAAAUUCAUGCCAUUUACUGAAAUCUGUUAGAUUCUAAACUUAUAUGCAUUGAUCCUCUUGUAAUGAUUAUGCACAAAGUCACAAAGACUUGGCAACAAUCAUUACAGAGUAUUCCAAAGGAGAUCAACUCCUUGGAAAUAUCCUUCUUGCAUUAAGUUUCCUUAAUCUUACACAGAUUGAAAAUUCUAACUUUGAAACAUUUCCAGAUUCCAUUUUGACUAUCACUUCUGAACAAGAGUUGCCUCCUUACAGAUUAUGUCAAUAUGGUCCUUCCAGAAUUAUCACUAUACUUCCAAUUGUCCUUGAGUAACCAAUCUUUGGUAAACCUUAGAUUGUCCUCGACAAUUGUUUAAUCCUUUUAGUCAUAUCCAGUUCUAAACCUUUUCCCUUCUUAAUGCCCCAGGCAUUUGGAAAAUUUUAGAACGGAUGAAUAUAGCACAUGUAAUCGAUCCUAUAUCCGAAGCAUAUGGGACACGAUUCAUGAUGUCUUACAUAAAGACUAAACCAGUCUUUUGCUAUAAUAUUUCCAUUUCAAUUUGCCAAGUUCUCAUAAUUCAGAUUAUGAAAAGGGAUGCCGUAAUCAUAAUCGAAUUUUAGAACGCAAAUAAUGGACCCAUAUACAGAAUUUCCUUAUGUUGAGCCAUUCCAACAUGAAAUUCAUAUAUAUCCUUGACUAAAUGAUUAAAACCUCACGAUCUAAGCUUAUAGAUUUGAGAUGAAGCAUAAUUUCCUCUCCCUUAAUUAUAGCAAAACAACUUUUUCCCAAUUGAAACUUUUGUUUUCUAUAAUUAACAUUGCUAACUUGCAAUACUUAUCAUAAUUAUCAUGCUCCCACUAACAUGAUGAUUAUUAGCAUAACACUUAUGCUCCCACUAGCUUUGACAUGUACUCAGAAAUCAGCUGGACAGUCUGAAAUUUAGAUUCAUACACCCUUUCCGUAGAUAGCUCACCUGUGUGUCUAAGCAAUUUCAAGAACCAUGAAAAGGGAUACCGUAAUCAUGGUCUCAAUUGCUUAGGCAUUUGCCAUUUCUCACAAGUCCAUGUUAGUGUGCCGGUUAACCACACGCGCUCCACUAACGACUUUUGAAAAUGCAAAUAACACAAUUGAUAUCUUCGUAAAAUCUACUUAGUGAAAGCGUUUCCUCACCAUCAUUUUCAUGAAUCGGAGAGAAACCUUAUGACACUUAGAUUUAUAUGGUGUAUGAGUUCCUACCCAUAUGAAUUUGUCAAACCAUAAUCACAAGACAAAGAUAAUGACAAAUCCAAAACCAUAUGGAUUGAACUCAAUCUUAACUUCUUGCCACCUGGCAGCUCAAGGGCCUGCCAUUGCUUCCAAGUUGUUAUGCAACAAACUGAGAACUCUAAGAACUCAUAUGCAAAGCCAACUUUAACUGGAAUGGGCACAGAUAUGUCAACACGAUAGGUUAUAAACCUCAAGUCGUGUGCUAGUGAAGAACUUUAGGUUUUAUUCUUGAUUAUUUCUUGAGACUUUCAAGACCUUUAAGACUCCCACUGUCCUCUUGACAUAUAAGACUCCCUUGUCAAACAUCCAAGAGAUAGUGCGGAUUCUAAUCAAGAAAAACACUUUACCCAAUUGGCCUAAGUUGGUCUUUGUUUUAUCCAAAACAUCACAACUUACCAAUUUCAAAUGUACAAGAGUAGAAAACUUUUACUCUUACAUUUGACAAGUGUUUUAAACCUUCUUUAAGACAUGUCACUCAAAUGACAAUCUUGGAGUAUGACUCUAAGACUUGUAUUGGAACGAAGUAUGACUCAUCUUCUUGAUUUAACCAUUUCAACAAUUCAAGUUCCUCUUCUUAGUCAUAAGAAUGCACUAAGAUUUCCUUAGAGAACUAAUUUUGAUAUGGUUUCUUAAUCAUUAAGAUGAUCACAAAACUGAUACUAAAGUACUCUCCCAUCUUUUCAGAUUUGAGAAACUUUUAUCCUUCUGCCUUAUUUGAUUCUUCUUAUCGAUCUUUAGUGGUGGACUUAAUCAGUGCACAAGAAUGUGUACUCGAUCCCUUAGUCCUUUACUUGACUCACACAUCCAUGUGAACAAGUAAUUAGUCUUAAUUUUCCAAAACUUGAAAGUUCUCAUUCAUCAUGCUAUACAACUUGCAUGAUUCCAAGUUCCGGUCCAAUUGAAACUUGGGUGAUGAGAAUCUUUCCUUAUUUGGUAAAUCUAGACAUUACCACAAAUGAAAGAAUCAAUUUCAUAUUUCCACUCUUGCUCUUAAUGGAAUCAUAUAAGCAACAAUUUUUCCUCAAAAGCCAUUGUAAGGAUAUUUUAAAAUAAAUAAAAUCAAAAAAAUUUUCUUUUAUUUUAAAACUUUGCGGAAAAACUUAUCCUUACAAUCCAUAUGAAAACUUGUUGUUAUCUAUUCCUAAGCAAUAUCUCAUAACUCCUAAGAAGUAGCUCAAGAAUCCGAUCUUCAAACUAUGCGAUAGAAAUCCAUCUACGCCAUCAGAUUCAGCAUAUUCUUUCUUUAAGUUUCUUCACUUUUCUUUGAUUCUUAAAACAUCACCAUGUGACCCAGUCACAUCAUGUAUCAAGAAUCUCAGAAUAGAAACUUAACAGAGUUAGAUAGUGGACUUUACCUGAAGUAGAGUCAAACUUAUUGACUUUAACAUCCUUAGGUAAAUUUGGCAGCUUCGCAACCAAUGCCCCUUCCUUUGGCAAUAUAAACAUAUGGACCCUUUGAUAAUGGUACACGGGACUAUCACAGACUUAGCUUUUCUCUUUACCAUUUGGUCAACCGAGUUGACUAUGGCCGAUCCCUUUCCAUUGGGAAGAGAAUGCUUUACUGGAUAUCCAAUGUCAUCAUUGUCAAUGUCCAUAAAGUUUUAGGAAGUUGAUCUUAGCAAAUAGAUAAGAUCAUUAAGGGUCUUGUCAUAGUCUGUUUCAUAGGUGUCCCAAAGGAACUCACUAUGUGACUUAGAAAGUGGUUGAACCACCAACUUUCUCAAGACUUUGACACCCAACUCUCCCGGCUUGUCAAUAUGUGACUACAUCUCCAAGAUGUGACCACACCUAGACCUUGCCUUGCUAAUAGGGCCUGAGUGACCUUAAACUUUUCAAGAACUUGUGGGUUAGGGAGAAUAAUUUGAAGAGGUGAAGAAGUAUGAUAUCCAUGGGACAUCAUCUUCAUUAGGAAACCUUGUUUCAAGAGAUUUGGGAAGAUCAUAGGUGUCUAAACCAGACAUCUUUUGGGAGAUAUUCAAGAUAGUUGAUUUAAAGUCCUUAAUAUGACACCCAAUAUGAAAUAUUAAGGCUAGGACCCAACAAACUAUUUUAUAACUUAGAAGAGGUAUGCCGUAAUCCAAGCUAUAAAAUAUUUGAAGGUAGGUGAAUGACGAUUCACCAAUUUCCACCAAGAUAAACGAAAUGUAUUAUUAGGUUUUAAUUGGUUUUGAAACUCCUAGAUCUUUGAGAUUCAUUGAACUUUUCAAAGGCAUGUUUCAAUCUCGAGUGUGCCCUUCAGGUUUUGUGACUGGGAUGCCGAGGAUCACAAAACAAGGUGUGAAGUAACCAUGCAAAUCACUUGGUACCCUUAAUAAAUUACCCCUCAAUCGAUGUGCCGGUUAACCACACACGCUCCAUCGAUACUAUGAUAAAUAUUAAGUCACCCUUUACCUACCUUGUUAAGUCCAAGUUAGUGUGCCGGUUAACCACACACGCUCCACUAACGACUUAGACAAAGUGUAAAGUGUAAUUUCAUGGAUUAGCACCUUAUUCACAUUUUUCCUAAGUAACUAAGAUUGGGUAUUAUUAAGAGUUUAGUUACUUAGUAUUAUCAUUAAUACUUUUAAUGAAGGGAGAAUUCUAGUCCUGUCAAACCCGUUCGGCUAACGACCCUCCACCAGUCAAGCAAGCGGUGGGUGAGAGUGGACACCCAUUAAGUUGCCAUUUUAUAGGCAACAACCUUAUACCCACCUUAUAGACCGGCUUCGUGAAUGAGGCGUACUAGCGGUAAGACUGACUUUACUCUUAUACAUAUAUAUAUUAUUAACUUAUAAUAUUAUAAAGUAUAAGGGUUGAAUUUUAACUUUUAAAAUUCUAAGGGCUAACUUGGAAUUAAAGUAUUCAUACUUGAAAACUUUUCAAAUUCCAAAACUUGAGGGCAAGUUUUGAAACUAUUCAAAACUAAUUAAUUCCAUAACUUAUGUGUUUAAAGUAGUUUUAAUCCAAAAACUCUUCAAGUUCCAUAACUUGAGGACAAGUUAUGGAAGACUUUAAACUAAUAAAAGAACUAACUUUUUCUUUAUUUUAUAACUUAUGGAUUUAAUUAUGGUUACAUAUUUUUCUUUAAUGAAGUGACUCUUGAACUUCCAUAACUUGAGGACAAGUUAUGGAGUCAAAAAAAAUUAUUCAAUGACACAAGACUCUUCAUUUUGUAACCAUUGCCAACUUUUAUGAGUUUUAUGAGUCUUUAAUGUGACUCUUCAUGUAACUUGAGGACAAGUUACACAAACACAUUUUAUACUCAACUCUUAGAUUAAAAUGGAUUGAAAACAACUAUUUCACUCAACAUUUCUAUUAAUCUAAGCAACUCAUAAGAACAAGAUAAUUCAAAUCAAACUUUUUCAUGUAAUUAGUCUAAACCUUAAACUAAUACAAAACAUGAAUCUAUUGACAAUUAUCUUUGAAAAUGGAUUAGCAUGAACAUUACCACAUCAAAAACAAGUUUAUAAGUUCAAAAACAACUUAGGGUAAUGUUCCUAGUCCAUUUCUAGCCAAAAAACUCGAAAAUAUGCUGUCUGGGGGUCCAACUCGUCGAGUGCAUGAACAAACUCGGCGAGUUGGAUCGAAUUCAUCACUUUUUAGGCAUGGACUCGUCGAGUCUCCUGAUGGACUCGCCGAGUCUGAUGGCCAGACAGCACCAGAUUCGUUUUUUCAGCUUCUAUUGCAGGUAUAACAAGAAAACAAGCCUAGGCUCUGAUACCACUGUUGGGUUUUGAGCAUUCUAACACUCCUAAGUGUACAUGCAACCCUAAAUACCUUGGAUCUAUGUUUUCUCUAUUAUACAUGCAAAUAAGAACUUCCAAGGUAUUAUCCUAAUCUAGCAUACAAAACAAUGACUAUAACAAGAUAGAAUACAUACCUCUUUGAUGUAGAAAGUCUUCAUGAAGCUUGAGUGCCUAGUGCCCCAAGUGUGACACCUCAAAUGGAAUCACAAUCAUCAAAACACUUGGAAUGACUUGAGAGAAUUCUACACUCUUCAAAAUCGGCUAGCCCUUUCUUCACUAUCACUAGUGGCCGAUUUUUCCUCAAUAAUAAGAUGCUUAUAUAGUUACACAAUUAGGGUAAACUCUUAAUUGUCAUGGCUUUCCAUUUCCUUGGAUCCAUGGGUACAAAUACACCAUGGAGCAUCCAUGGACCAUCCUAUGGGUUUUAGCCCAACUUGAUUAUCCAUGGAGCAUUAGCCCACUAUACAAGUAUGGAUGAUUUACACAAUCAACCCAUAUAUUUAAUUAGUCUUCUUUUGAUCACUUAAUUAAUCCUAGAUUAAUUCUUGAUCAAUACUAAUUAAAUAAUCUUAUUAUUCUUAUUAUUAAUAUACUAGAACUUAUAAUAUAUUAAUAACCAUAAGUGUCUUAUUUCUCUCAUUAUAGUCUAUCCAAGUGCAUGAUGGUAUGCAACCCAAAUGGACCAUGCCGGGUCGGGUCAAGUCUUACCAAUUAUAGUUAUGGACUUAGACAUUAAUCCAACAGUCUCCCACUUGGAUAAGUCUAAAACUAUUAUUGCGUAUGACUUCAGGAACCAACUGGCAAUCGUAGCUCUCAAAAGCUUCUGUCGAACUCUGACCUUGUAGAUGAACUCUGACCUUUGUCAAUGACUUGUCCAUUAGAUAAGGGAUCAUAUAUUCCUCCAUUCUAGAUAUCAUAUGGACUGAGACAUGGAUUAUAAUCAUUCUCUCUGUCCAUUUGUUGUUUCCCGAUUUCCGAUUUAUGACGACUGACUAAUUGAACAAAUCAAAUCAGUCCUGGCCCGGCCGAGCACUUCCAUUUGUCAUCAUCAAAUCAUCGAGGGGCCCACAGAUAUCGCUUUUAUCCCGAAGGUAAAAGGAAUGGAUAAACUUCGACUCAUAUGGCUUGUUCUACUACUUGUUGAAUCAUACACAAAGGCACGUUUUAUAGCACCGAGUUACCAAAUGCGUUUUCGUGCAAUCAAUGUACUAUCAACUCAUAGUAACAACUCAUAUCUCUAGGUUUGAAGAAUAUAAGAUAUUAUCGUCUCAUGAUCACUCGUGAUAAAAUCCAUGAAGUGAUUCCAAUGAGCGCGGGUUGAAUCCAAUACUCAGAACUUAUGAGCACUCAUGAGUGUUGUAGCCCUUUGUCCAACACCUUAGACCUCUACAAGCCAACCCAUGACAGUCUUAAUUCAUAUCUACUUCCAACAUAUGACCGACUGUGGAUGGUUUGAAUAACUUAGUCAUUCCGGAAGAAUAACCCAGUUUAUUCGGGAAGUCAAAACAUGCAAAAUGAAACACAAUAAUAAUUGAAUCCAAUAUGGUAUCAACCCUUUGAACAUAAAUAAAACACCUUUUAUUUAUCACCAUAUGAUUACACAUUAUUCAUUGUAUACUGUUUCAGCUAUCAACUUUAUUCUUGAAUUUAAAACAAUAGUUGUCCCAUGCUCCAAGCAUGUACACUAUGUUUUCUUAAACACUAGUCAUGCCACACACCAAGUAUGCAUACUAUGUUUGUCUAUGAUCUUUACUUUGUGAACUAGAUCAAUUGAACAUAACUUCAAUGAUUCUCUUUUCACACUCCCAAAUCCUUACUGCAAAUGCAAGAAUUCCAAAUUCAUGCCAUUUACUGAAAUCUGUUAGAUUCUAAACUUAUAUGCAUUGAUCCUCUUGUAAUGAUUAUGCACAAAGUCACAAAGACUUGGCAACAAUCAUUACAGAGUAUUCCAAAGGAGAUCAACUCCUUGGAAAUAUCCUUCUUGCAUUAAGUUUCCUUAAUCUUACACAGAUUGAAAAUUCUAACUUUGAAACAUUUCCAGAUUCCAUUUUGACUAUCACUUCUGAACAAGAGUUGCCUCCUUACAGAUUAUGUCAAUAUGGUCCUUCCAGAAUUAUCACUAUACUUCCAAUUGUCCUUGAGUAACCAAUCUUUGGUAAACCUUAGAUUGUCCUCGACAAUUGUUUAAUCCUUUUAGUCAUAUCCAGUUCUAAACCUUUUCCCUUCUUAAUGCCCCAGGCAUUUGGAAAAUUUUAGAACGGAUGAAUAUAGCACAUGUAAUCGAUCCUAUAUCCGAAGCAUAUGGGACACGAUUCAUGAUGUCUUACAUAAAGACUAAACCAGUCUUUUGCUAUAAUAUUUCCAUUUCAAUUUGCCAAGUUCUCAUAAUUCAGAUUAUGAAAAGGGAUGCCGUAAUCAUAAUCGAAUUUUAGAACGCAAAUAAUGGACCCAUAUACAGAAUUUCCUUAUGUUGAGCCAUUCCAACAUGAAAUUCAUAUAUAUCCUUGACUAAAUGAUUAAAACCUCACGAUCUAAGCUUAUAGAUUUGAGAUGAAGCAUAAUUUCCUCUCCCUUAAUUAUAGCAAAACAACUUUUUCCCAAUUGAAACUUUUGUUUUCUAUAAUUAACAUUGCUAACUUGCAAUACUUAUCAUAAUUAUCAUGCUCCCACUAACAUGAUGAUUAUUAGCAUAACACUUAUGCUCCCACUAGCUUUGACAUGUACUCAGAAAUCAGCUGGACAGUCUGAAAUUUAGAUUCAUACACCCUUUCCGUAGAUAGCUCACCUGUGUGUCUAAGCAAUUUCAAGAACCAUGAAAAGGGAUACCGUAAUCAUGGUCUCAAUUGCUUAGGCAUUUGCCAUUUCUCACAAGUCCAUGUUAGUGUGCCGGUUAACCACACGCGCUCCACUAACGACUUUUGAAAAUGCAAAUAACACAAUUGAUAUCUUCGUAAAAUCUACUUAGUGAAAGCGUUUCCUCACCAUCAUUUUCAUGAAUCGGAGAGAAACCUUAUGACACUUAGAUUUAUAUGGUGUAUGAGUUCCUACCCAUAUGAAUUUGUCAAACCAUAAUCACAAGACAAAGAUAAUGACAAAUCCAAAACCAUAUGGAUUGAACUCAAUCUUAACUUCUUGCCACCUGGCAGCUCAAGGGCCUGCCAUUGCUUCCAAGUUGUUGUGCAACAAAUUGAGAACUCUAAGAACUCAUAUGCAAAACCAACUUUAACUGGAAUGGGCACAGAAUAUGUCAACACGAUAGGUUAUGAACCUCAAGUCGUGUGCUAGUGAAGAACUUUAGGUUUUAUUCUUGAUUAUUUCUUGAGACUUUCAAGACCUUUAAGACUCCCACUGUCCUCUUGACAUAUAAGACUCCCUUGUCAAACAUCCAAGAGAUAGUGCGGAUUCUAAUCAAGAAAAACACUUUACCCAAUUGGCCUAAGUUGGUCUUUGUUUUAUCCAAAACAUCACAACUUACCAAUUUCAAAUGUACAAGAGUAGAAAACUUUUACUCUUACAUUUGACAAGUGUUUUAAACCUUCUUUAAGACAUGUCACUCAAAUGACAAUCUUGGAGUAUGACUCUAAGACUUGUAUUGGAACGAAGUAUGACUCAUCUUCUUGAUUUAACCAUUUCAACAAUUCAAGUUCCUCUUCUUAGUCAUAAGAAUGCACUAAGAUUUCCUUAGAGAACUAAUUUUGAUAUGGUUUCUUAAUCAUUAAGAUGAUCACAAAACUGAUACUAAAGUACUCUCCCAUCUUUUCAGAUUUGAGAAACUUUUAUCCUUCUGCCUUAUUUGAUUCUUCUUAUCGAUCUUUAGUGGUGGACUUAAUCAGUGCACAAGAAUGUGUACUCGAUCCCUAAGUCCUUUACUUGACUCACACAUCCAUGUGAACAAGUAAUUAGUCUUAAUUUUCCAAAACUUGAAAGUUCUCAUUCAUCAUGCUAUACAACUUGCAUGAUUCCAAGUUCCGGUCCAAUUGAAACUUGGGUGAUGAGAAUCUUUCCUUAUUUGGUAAAUUUAGACAUUACCACAAAUGAAAGAAUCAAUUUCAUACUUCCACUCUUGCUACUAAUGGAAUCUUAUAAGCAACAAAAAUUUCCACAGAUGCCAUUGUAAGGAUAUUUUAAAAUAAAUAAAAUCAAAAAUUUCCUUUUAUUUUAAAACUUUGCGGAAAAACUAUCCUUACAAUCCAUAUGAAAACUUGUUGUUAUCUAUUCCUAAGCAAUAUCUCAUAACUCCUAAGAAGUAGCUCAAGAAUCCGAUUUUUCAAACUAUGCGAUAGAAAUCCAUCUAUGCGAUCAGAUUCAGCAUAUUCUUCCUUUAAGUUUCUUCACUUUCCUUUGAUUCUUAAACCAUCACCAUGCGACCCGGUCACAUCAUGUAUCAAGAAUCUCAGAAUAGAAACUUAACAGAGUUAGAUAGUGGAUUUUACCUGAAGUAGAGUCAAACUUAUUGACUUUAACAUCCUUAGGUAAAUUUGGCAGCUUCGCAACCAAUGCCCUUUCUUUGGCAAUACAAACAUAUGGACCCUUUGAUAAUGGUACACAGGACUAUCACAGACUUAGCUUUUCUCUUUACCAUUUGGUCAACCGAGUUGACUAUAGCCGAUCCCUUUCCAUUGGGAAGAGAAUGCUUUACUGGAUAUCCAAUGUCAUCAUUGUCAAUGUCCAUAAAGUUUUAGGAAGUUGAUCUUAGCAAAUAGAUAAGAUCAUUAAGGGUCUUGUCAUAGUCUGUUUCAUAGGUGUCCCAAAGGAACUCACUAUGUGACUUAGAAAGUGGUUGAACCACCAACUUUCUCAAGACUUUGACACCCAACUCUCCCGGCUUGUCAAUAUGUGACUACAUCUCCAAGAUGUGACCACACCUAGACCUUGCCUUGCCAAUAGGGCCUGAGUGACCUUAAACUUUUCAAGAACUUGUGGGUUAGGGAGAAUAAUUUGAAGAGGUGAAGAAGUAUGAUAUCCAUGGGACAUCAUCUUCAUUAGGAAACCUUGUUUCAAGAGAUUUGGGAAGAUCAUAGGUGUCUAAACCAGACAUCUUUUGGGAGAUAUUCAAGAUAGUUGAUUUAAAGUCCUUAAUAUGACACCCAAUAUGAAAUAUUAAGGCUAGGACCCAACAAACUAUUUUAUAACUUAGAAGAGGUAUGCCGUAAUCCAAGCUAUAAAAUAUUUGAAGGUAGGUGAAUGACGAUUCACCAAUUUCCACCAAGAUAAACGAAAUGUAUUAUUAGGUUUUAAUUGGUUUUGAAACUCCUAGAUCUUUGAGAUUCAUUGAACUUUUCAAAGGCAUGUUUCAAUCUCGAGUGUGCCCUUCAGGUUUUGUGACUGGGAUGCCGAGGAUCACAAAACAAGGUGUGAAGUAACCAUGCAAAUCACUUGGUACCCUUAAUAAAUUACCCCUCAAUCGAUGUGCCGGUUAACCACACACGCUCCAUCGAUACUAUGAUAAAUAUUAAGUCACCCUUUACCUACCUUGUUAAGUCCAAGUUAGUGUGCCGGUUAACCACACACGCUCCACUAACGACUUAGACAAAGUGUAAAGUGUAAUUUCAUGGAUUAGCACCUUAUUCACAUUUUUCCUAAGUAACUAAGAUUGGGUAUUAUUAAGAGUUUAGUUACUUAGUAUUAUCAUUAAUACUUUUAAUGAAGGGAGAAUUCUAGUCCUGUCAAACCCGUUCGGCUAACGACCCUCCACCAGUCAAGCAAGCGGUGGGUGAGAGUGGACACCCAUUAAGUUGCCAUUUUAUAGGCAACAACCUUAUACCCACCUUAUAGACCGGCUUCGUGAAUGAGGCGUACUAGCGGUAAGACUGACUUUACUCUUAUACAUAUAUAUAUUAUUAACUUAUAAUAUUAUAAAGUAUAAGGGUUGAAUUUUAACUUUUAAAAUUCUAAGGGCUAACUUGGAAUUAAAGUAUUCAUAAGUGAAAACUUUACAAAUUCCAAAACUUGAGGGCAAGUUUUGAAACUAUUCAAAACUAAUUAAUUCCAUAACUUAUGUGUUUAAAGUAGUUUUAAUCCAAAAACUCUUCAAGUUCCAUAACUUGAGGACAAGUUAUGGAAGACUUUAAACUAAUAAAAGAAUUAACUUUUCUUUAUUUUAUAACUUAUGGAAUUAAUUAAGGUUACCCUUUUUUUUAUUUUAUUUUAUUUUAUUAAAUGAAGAGACUCUUGGUCCUCCAUAACUUGAGGACAAGUUAUGGAGUCAUAAAACCAUUUAAUUAGAACUAGACUCUUCAUUUUUGUAACCUUUGCCAAUUUUUAUGAGUUUUAUGAUUCUUAAAUGUGACUUUUCAUAUAACUUGAGGACAAGUUACAAAAACACAUUUUAGAAUCAAUUCUUAGAUUAAUUUGGAUUAAAACCAACUAUCACAUAAUUUUAUUCAUUAAUCUAAAUUCACUCAUAAAACAAGGUAACACAAAAAACUUUUGGUGAUCCAUAACUUAUUCUUAAGUUAUGGAAUCCUUUAAAACAUUAACACCAAAUUUUGUAACUCCAAAAAAACUUUGAAUUAAUUUUUUUUUUAAAACCUUUUCAUAUCCAUAACUUAUGGAGGUUUCAAAAAAUAAAACUCUUUAGAUCAAACUUUUAAAACUAAUAAAAUAAUCAUAUUAUUUUAUCUUUUAUUAAAUUUGACCUAAUUCAACUCAUAAAGCAAAUUAUUCAAAUUUUACAAAUAAUUAGUUUUUCACAAGAACAAGUAAUUAUCUUAAAAUUUGACAAACUUCAUUUUUUUUUUUUCAACUUUGAAAAUAAAAUAUUUGCAUCAAUAUAACAGAAAACAACCCGUGGCUCUGAUACCACUGUUGGGUUUUGAGCAUUCUAACACUUCCUAAGUGUACAUGCAACCCUAAAUACCUUGGAUCUAUGUUUUCUCUAUUAUACAUGCAAAUAAGAACUUCCAAGGUAUUAUCCUAAUCUAGCAUAUAAAACAAUGGAUAUAGUAGGAUAGAAUACAUACCUUUUUGGUGUAGUAAGUCUUCAUGAAGCUUGAGUGCUUAGUGCCCCAAGUGUGACACCUCAAAUGGAAUCACAAUCAUCAAAACACUUGGAAUGACUUGAGAGAAUUCUACACUCAUCAAAAUCGGCUAGCCCUUUCUUCACUAUCUCUAGUGGCCGAUUUUUCCUCAAUAAUAAGAUGCUUAUAUAGUUACACAAUUAGGGUAAACUCUUAAUUGUCAUGGCUUUCCAUUUCCUUGGAUCCAUGGGUACAAAUACACCAUGGAGCAUCCAUGGACCAUCCUAUGGGUUUUAGCCCAACUUGAUUAUCCAUGGAGCAUUAGCCCACUAUACAAGUAUGGAUGAUUUACACAAUCAACCCAUAUAUUUAAUUAGUCUUCUUUUGAUCACUUAAUUAAUCCUAGAUUAAUUCUUGAUCAAUACUAAUUAAAUAAUCUUAUUAUUCUUAUUAUUAAUAUACUAGAACUUAUAAUAUAUUAAUAACCAUAAGUGUCUUAUUUCUCUCAUUCAAGUGCAUGAUGGUAUGCAACCCAAAUGGACCAUGCCGGGUCGGGUCAAGUCUUACCAAAUAUAGUUAUGGACUUAGACAUUAAUCCAACAAUGGUAUCCUUCAAAAUCAGGAUUUUUCAUUCAAGAUGUAGCACCUGGUUCUUGGUGACUCAUUGGGAGCCUCGGCCGUUGAGGCUAUGACAUGGCCAGACUUUGUGACCCGGUUCAGAACGGAGUUCGCACCUGCAUUGGAGCUCUAGUAGUUAGCCAGGGAGUUUUUGGAUAUGAGACAGACUACGGAGACUGUGGCGGAAAUCACCGCCAAGUUCCGGGAGAGGGCGUUGCUGGUGCCCCAGUAUGCGGGAGAUGAGGAUAUGAGGAGGAAUCGUUAUCAUGACAUGUUGCGAGCCGACAUUCGGGAGCAUGUUAGUUUUUCAGCUUGCCCUACCCUGGAUUCCAUGAUUGCUAGGGCAAAGGAGAGGGAGAUCGAUCUGGAGCAUGUCCGGAAGAGGAAGGUAGAGGAGGGGCAGACGACUAGGGCUUCGGGGAAGAAGCCCAAAGGAUCAGAUGGUAGGCCGAAAGGCCAGUCAGGACCAGACCGCUGCAGGAAAUGCGGCAGGCCACAUGAGGGGGCGUGUAGAUUGGGAUCGUUGCGGUGCUACAAUUGCGGCAAGACGGGGCACUUCAGCAGGGAUUGUACCGCCCCUGCACCGGUUAUUCAGACGUCCGAGUUGCUGUGUUUCCACUGCAACCAGUGGGGCCACAAGAAGACCAAUUGCCCCCAGUUGACAGCAACAACGCCAGUGAAGGCGCCGACUCCAGUGACCCUGUGGAUUACUGAUGUCCAGCAGGUCAAGGCUGAGGCUCCAGUGGUGAGGAGUCGGGCCUUCCAAUUGACUACCGAGGAGGCACGCGCUGCACCCGGUGUGGUGACGGGUAUGACUUCUUAUUUAUGCUUUUAUGUUAAGCUGCUGUGAUUUUGAUAUGAUAUGUAUGUGCUCUGUUUAGGACCGACGGUUAGGUCAGCACCCCAGAAUGGCUUGACGUGGGUAGGUCAGCACCCCAGAAUGGCUUGACAUGGGUAGGACGACACCCUAGAAUGGCCGCAAGGGUAGGGCGGCACCCUAGAAUGGCCGUACCGGGUAGGUCGGGCACCCCAGAAUUGCCCGACAGUAUAUAUGCUAUGUGAUUGUAUGGUAUGUGGUACAAUGGGGGAACUCACUAAGCUUCGUGCUUACAUUUUACAGUUUUGGUUUCAGGUACCUCUUCAGCUAAGGGUAAGGAGUUGGCACGGUAGCGACACAUCAUACACACACUCUUUGUUUUCCGCAUGAUGGAUAUUCUGGGAUUGUACUCUAACAUGUUACUAAUUUUAUGACUUGGGUUUUCAGACAUGAUACAUUGUUUUAUGAGAUGAUUCGAUUUCACAAUACUUUAUUAUGAAUGUUUUUAUGAGUCAGCUAAUUAAAAUGAAAAUUUUGGACUUGAAAAUUGGGUCGUUACAAGUUGGUAUCAGAGCCCUGGUUUGAGGGAUUCGGACACACCCUUGGGAGUGUCUGGACUCAAAUCGAGGGAUUAAAAGAUUUUUACAAGAAAAAUGGUUUCCUAAAAGCUAAGAUAAAAGAUUUUUGGGAAAGAACAAAGUGUGUGAUGUGUGCAACCGGCCGAGCUCAAGUAAGUAUUCCCCAAAGUACCCAUACAAGUUUAUAUUAUGUUUAUCAGUUUCAGUAGAACAACAUGCUAGAAUAGGACUAAGGAUCUAGGAAUGAUGCCUUAUGUGUCUACUUUAUGUGCUUCAGAUUAUGAGAAUUGCAUGCUAGUAUUGAGUAGACAGUAAUAGGAUAGCCUGUUUAGAUUAUGCCUGGUAGUAUGAGCUCAACAUUAUAUGCUGGUACAGUUUCUCGUUAGGAGAAUAGAGUUGCUUGAGUAGUUUCUUGUGUCCGAAUGCUACUUGCUUCGUGCUUGUAGGGCUCUGAAUGAUGGGAGUUAGCCAUUAGGUGAGUACGUCGCGUCACAUGUGAUUAGGAUUGAAUAAUCUUAGAGUGCUGGAUAUGGUCCUAUUGCGCAGCUCUCGUUUGAGUCUAACCGUUGUAGGGACGAGUCUUUUACUUGAAGGAUUAUCUGAGCCCCGUCACAUGUGAUGGUAUUCAGGUGGUGGCUAAUUGGCAUCACAAGGAAGCCUUUAGCAGUUGAGGACCGGUUUGGGUGGAGUCAGAGGUUCCCUAAGGUAAGCCUAGGAUGAGAGUAGCAGAGAUCAGCAGUGGUAAAAGGGACUUGGUGGAGUCAAGGCAGUACUUGAGGAAAGUACGGAUAGAUGUGGAAGGUAGUAUGGGACUGUACUACAUAAAACAGAGGAUUCGUACUCAAAUUAAGGAAGGUUGAGGCAAGACCAAGGAACUUGUGAUGGGUGUGAUCCCUCUAGAUGUACCAGUAUCAUGGACGGUUGUCAUGAUGUAUUGUAGAAUGGUGGUACUACGUCCGAGGCUAGCUGUUGGCAGCUCAGGAUAGGGAUCGGGUUCAGGUUCAGGCUCCGAACCAGUGGAUGAGAGGCUACGCGAGUUCAUCGUGUCUGAGACAUCCUUGAUGCGACCCCGGUCAUCUUUGGGUCGAUCAAGAAAGGGAUUGUUUAGCUGAUGGAGGAUUGCCUUAGGGCGUUCAGGAGUGACAUGGCGACCAGCCAGUCAGGAUCCCGCACACUGUCCUUUAAGGACUUCAGGGUCAGUGGUGCAUCAGAUUUCCAUGGGGCGAAGGACCCCAUUGCUGCGAGACGAUGGAUUGCGGACAUUGAGUCAACGCAGUUGACCGGCUUCUGCCUCGAGGGGUUGAAGGUGAGAUAUGCAGCAGGGUGUUUGAGAGACAGGGCUAGAGAUUGGGGGCAGUCUAUUGGUGACUCAUUGGGAGCCUCGGCUGUUGAGGCUAUGACAUGGCCAGACUUUGUGACCCGGUUCAGAACGGAGUUCGCACCUGCAUUGGAUCUCUAGUAGUUAGCCAGGGAGUUUUUGGAUAUAAGACAGAGUAUGGAGAUUGUGGCGGAGAUCACCGCCAAGUUCCGGGAGAGGGCAUUGCUGGUGCCUCAGUAUGCGGGAGAUGAGGAUAUGAGGAGGACCCGCUAUCAUGACAUGUUGCAAGCCGACAUUCGGGAGCAUGCUAGUUUUUCAGCUUGCCCUACCGUGGAUUCCAUGAUUGCUAGGGCAAGGGAAAGGGAGAUCGAUCUGGAGCAUGUCCGGAAGAGGAAGGUAGAGGAGGGGCAGACGACCGGGGUUUCGGGGAAGAAGCCCAAGGGAUCAGAUGGUAGGCCGAAAGGCCAGUCAGGACCAGACCGCUGCAGGAAAUGCGGCAGGCCACAUGAGGGGGCGUGUAGAUUGGGAUCGUCGGGGUGCUACAAGUCCGGCAAGACGGGGCACUUCAGUAGGGAUUGUACCGCCCCUGCACCGGUUAUUCAGACGUCCGAGUUGCUGUGUUUCCACUGCAACCAGUGGGGCCACAAGAAGACCAACUGCCCCCAGUUGACAGCAGCAGCGCCAAUAAAGGCGCCGACUCCAGUGACCCUGUGGAUUACUGAUGUCCGGUAGGUCAAGGCUGAGGCUCUAGUGGUGAGGAGUCGGGCCUUCCAGUUGACUACCGAGGAGGCACGCGCUGCAUCCGGUGUGGUGACGGGUAUGACUUCUUAUUUAUGCUUUUAUGUUAAGCUGCUGUGAUUUUGAUAUGAUAUGUAUGUGCUCUGUUUAGGAUUGUUCCUGAGUCUUCGGGCAUGUUGGAUUUCCCUCUAGAGGUUGAGAUUGCGGACGACCGGUCAGUGCAAGAAUAUGAGGUCUUCCGAGAUUGUGUUUUGAGAUUGUUUGAGGCGUUACCUGGUAGACCUGGUUCCUAUUCCGUUGAGAGGGAACAAGGUGAUUAUAGGCAUUGAUUGGUUGAGCCCCAAUGGGGCAGUGAUAGAUUGCGCACAACAGUUGGUGCGAGUCAGGACCCCUGGAGGGGGAGAGUUAGUGAUUUAGGGCGAGAGGCCACAACGAGGGCCAACUUUAUGUUCGACAAUGAGGGCAAGGCGUUACAUUCAGCUGGGUUGCACAUGAUAUGUCGCUUAUGUCACGGAUACCCGGGAGGCGGGUGAGGUGACGGUGAGCAACGUUCCGGUGGUGCGAGACUACGCGGAUGUGUUCCAAGAGGAGCUUCCUGGGAUACCUCAGGAGCGACAAGUGGAGUUCAGGAUCGACCUAGUCCUUGGUGCGGCUCCGGUAGCCAAGGCACUGUAUCAGUUGGCUCCUCCUGAGAUGUAGGAUUUGUCUACACAGCUGCAGGAGCUGUUAGACAAGGGAUUCAUUAGACCGAGUAGUUCUCCCUAGGGAGCCUCGAUUAUGUUUGUGAAGAAGAAGGACGGGUCGCAUUGGAUGUGUAUAGAUUAUUGGGAGCUGAAUAAGGUAACGGUGAAGAACCGUUACCCACUCCCGCGAAUCGAUGAUCUCUUUGACCAGCUAAAGGGAGCAUCCUGGUUCUCUAAGAUUGAUCUGCAUUCAAGAUAUCAUUAGAUGAGGGUCAGAGAGGAGGAUGUACAGAAGACUGCGUUCUGGACGCGCUAUGGCCAAUACGAGUUCGUGGUGAUGCCCUUUGGGCUCACCAAUGCUCCUGCCGCGUUCAUGGACCUCAUGAACCGCGUGUGUAGACCGAUGUUAGACCAGUAUGUGAUAGUGUUUAUUGAUGAUAUCUUGGUUUACUCUAGUACGCAGGAGGAGCACGAGGAGCAUCUGCGAGAGGUUCUGGAGACUUUGAGAAGGGAGAACUUGUAUGCUAAGUUCUCCAAGUGUUAGUUCUGGUUGUGCGAGGUGCAGUUUCUCGAGCAUCUUUUCAACCAGAACGGGAUAUCGGUGGACCCAGCCAAAGUGGAGGUUGUGAUGAGAUGGGAGGUUCCGAGGUCUCCAUCUGAGAUUCGGAGUUUCCUAGGAUUAGCCGGCUACUAUUGGAGAUUCAUCCAGGAUUUCUCCAAGAUAGCCGUACCCCUGACCAGGCUAACAAGGAAAGUCGUGGUCUUUUUUGGGGGCCUGAGCAGCAGGCCGUAUUCGAGGCACUGAGACAGAGAUUGUGUGAGGCGCCCAUCUUAGCCCUGCCAGAGGGCAUGGAGGAUUUUGUUGUGUACUGCGAUGCGUCCAUAUCGGGUUUGGGAGCAGUACUGAUGUAGAGAGGGAAUGUCAUCACCUACGCUUCGAGGCAGCUGAAGCCUCAUGAGGCGAAUUACCCGACACAUGAUCUGGAGCUAGGGGUUGUUGUGUUCGCCCUCAAGAUUUGGCGUCAUUACCUCUAUGGGGUUUGUUGUACCAUCUACAUGGACCACAAGAGUUUGAGGUACCUCAUGGAUCAGCCGAAUCUAAACAUGAGGCAACGUCGGUGGUUGGAUGUGGUGAAGGAUUACAAUUGCGAGAUCCUUUACCACUCGGGGAAGGUCAAUGUGGUGGCCGAGGCACUUAGCCGCAAGGCAGCGCCUAUCAGGGAUAUCUGUCUGAGGAUGAUAGUGGUGACUCCACUGUUGGAGCAGAUUCGAGAGGCCCAACAGGAGGCCAUGAAGGAGGAACAUCGGAAGAGUGANGCCAGGUUUCCUCCUUCGAUUACGAUAGCCGAGGACUAUUGACCCUACACCGCAGGGUGUGGGUGCUGUACCACGGGGGUGUGCACCGGGUUCUGAUGGAGGAGGCGCACAAAUAUCGAUUCUCCAUUCAUCCUGGGGCGACGAAGAUUUAUAGGGAUCUUCGUCUGGACUAUUGGUGGCCCUGCAUGAAGCGGGAUGUAGCAUGGUACGUGGAGCGGUGCUUGACCUGUAGGAAGGUCAAGGCCGAGCGCCAGAGGCCACACGACAAUAUGUAGCCGUUGGAUAUCCCGCUGUGGAAAUGGGAAGACAUUAAAAUGGAUUUUAUCUUAAAGCUUCCCAGGACCGCACGAGGAGUGGAUUCGAUUUGGGUCAUCGUCGAUCGAUUGACCAAGAGCGCCCAUUUUAUCCUGAUUCAGGAAAGUAUUUCGGCCGAAAGGUUGGCCGAUAUCUAUAUCAGGGAGGUAGUGGCGUGGCACGGGGUGCCAGUUUCGGUGAUUUCAGAUAGGGAUGUGCGGUUCACUUCCAGGUUUUUGAAGAAGUUUCAUGACGAGCUGGGUACUCGUCUGCAUUUUAGCACCGCCUUUCACCCGCAGACGGAUGGUCAGAGUGAGUGGACCAUCCAGAUUCUGGAGGAUAUGCUGCGAGCAUGCAUGUUAGACUUCGGAGGUAGUUGGGAUACCUACCUUCCAUUGGCAGAGCUCUCCUAUAACAAUAGUUAUCAUGCGAGCAUUGACCACCCUCCCUUCGAGAUGAUGUAUGGGAGGAGGUGCAGGACCCCGAUAUGUUGGGGCGAGGUUGGACAGAGGGUAAUGGGGAGCACCGAAGUAUUGCUCAAGACGACAGAAAGGAUUCAGCAGGUCCGGAGCAGGCUUCAGACUGCUCAGAGUCGGCAGAAAAGGUAUGCUGAUAAGCGCCGAUCAGACCUGGAGUUCCAGGUCGGGGAUAUGGUUCUCCUGAAGGUGUCGCCAUGGAAGGGCGUCAUCCGAUUUAGGAAACGGGGCAAGUUGGGCCCUAGAUACAUUGGACCGUUCAGGGUCUUAGCCCGGGUAGGCAAGGCGGUGUACUGGUUGGAUCUGCCAGCCAAACUCAACCAGAUCCACAACACUUUCCACGUCUCCCAGCUACGGAAGUGCCUGGUGGACGACUCAGCAGUGGUACCCUUAGAGGAUAUUCAGGUCGAUGACAGCCUGAAUUACAUCGAGCGACCUAUGGCAAUCCUCGAAUGGAAGUCGAAGGAUAUGAGGAACAAGAUGGUGGAGCUCGUGAAGGUGCAAUGGUAGCACCAGAAAGGCUCGGAAUGGACCUGGGAGCCGGUGGAUGAGAUGAUGGAGCAUUACACAGAGCUAUUCCAGGAACGAGCAGCAGACUUCGAGGACGAAGUCUAAAAUAAGUGGAGGAGAUUUGUAGCACCUGGUUCUUGGCAUGUAUUUUUAUUUAAGUAUUUUGCAUUUUUGACCUGGGACUUGGCGAGUUGAAGGACCAACUCGCCGAGUAAAAGCGGGAUGGGACGCGGGAUUUAAGUGAUGGACUCAUCGAGUCGGGUCCCAGACUUGACGAGUAGGCUCUGACUGGACAAAACCCUAAUCUGAGGGUUUGCACCCUAUUUAAUCAUCUCUUUCAGCCACCACUUGUCCCUAUUGCUCCCAGAAACCCUCCAUAGCAAACCCUAAGUGUUUUGGUGCAAGAUCUAAGGCUUUUGAGUGAUUUUUGUAGGUUUUGACCUCAAGGAAGAAGGAAGAGCAUAGAAGGAUCAAGAGGAGACUGAAGGAUUCGAUUUUGGUUCAUCAUUUGUAGUCUUUGAAAGUUAUAAAGUCUGUACCUUGCUUGGUUGUUUGUUAGAUCCCUUUUUGGGGAAGAUUUAGGGCUUUUUAAGCCAUAUGAGGUAGCCAACCAUGAUUGCAAACAUGGUUGGGGGUCAAGACUUCGGAUCUAAGUCUUGGGAGGAGUCAUAAGGCAGAUUUCGGUUGCUUUUGCACCCAAGGAAGGUCCCAUGCAACAUAAGAGCCAUUUUAGAGCCUUUUGGGCUCAAAAGUCCCAUGCAUGCACGUAAAGUUCGAAACUUUACAUGCUAGAUCGAGCUUAGGGGCUUGGAUCUAUCGUUUGGUCAAAGGUUAUACAUCAGAAAUCGAACAUUUAGGGUGUGGACGUUAUUGACUCGGUGAGUCCGUUCUUGGGACUUGACGAGUCCAAGGCAUAAAGUCCCAUAUCUGUUGAGGGUCAAAAGAACUCAGUUGGGCGUUAGAAGGGUUGUAGAAGGUCUGAAGGAGUGACCCAAUUUAUUGGACUUAGCCUUAGACCUGGAUUUCAUGGGAUUCGACGAGUGCUAGAACAGACUCGACGAGUCCAAGGCAAUCUCCUUAUGGUUGAAGAUGAACUCGACGAGUUGUUCAUACAACUCGGCGAGUCAAGGUCAGAACUUGUUCAUCAGAUGAAGGUGAACUCGACGAGUUGUUCGUACAACUCGGCGCGUCGGAUGAAGGUUCAUUCGAUGUUCAUAUAGAGGAGGAACUCGUCAAGUCGUUUCCAAACUCGACGAGUCGAGUUGUGGAUAUGGACGGGUAAAGGGUUAGGGACUCGACGAGUUAACAGCCCAACUCGGCGAGUCGGGUCAACUGGCAGUUGACUUUGACUUGGACUUGGUUGGGGGUAAAAUAGUCAUUUUACCACAAGAGUAGAUAUCAGUUUCUGAUUGAGUGUUUUGUGGGGAUUAUAGCCGGAGGAUUUCCGGAGCAGCAGCAGACAGAGGUUUCCGGCACAGAUUAUCAGCAGCUACUCGUUCGAGGUGAGUUACCUUCCAGUAGCGGUGGGUCUACGGCCAUAAUGCCGGCCCACCAGUAAGAGUUGUGUGAUUAGAUGAUUGUCUUUGUGAUAUCAUCUAGGUUUGCUACUACCUGAUAUGUUAUAUGCUGGCAUGAUAUGUUAUAUGUGAUAGUAGUAGAGUUCGGUUGUUAGGACCGAAGGGUAGGUCAGACACCCCAGAUAUGUCUGACAGUAUGUGAUGAUAUGUUUAUAUGCUGGCAUGAUAUGUUAUAUGUGAUAGUGGUAGUAGGAGGGGAAUAGUCCUCAAGUUCGGUUGUUAGGACCGAAGGGUAGUUCGGACACUCCAGAUAUGUCUGAUAGUAUCUUUAUGUUACAAUAUAUGUGAUAGUAGUAGUGUGGGGUGGAAUAGUCCCCGAAGGUCGGUUGUUAGGACCGACGGGUAGGUCAGCACCCCAUAAUGGCUUGACAUGGGUAGGUCAGCACCCUAGAAUGGCUUGACAUGGGUAGGACGGCACCCCAGAAUGGCCGCAAGGGUAGGUCGGCACCCCAGAAUGGCCGUACCGGGUAGGUCGAGCACCCUAGAAUUGCCCGACAGUAUGUAUGCUAUGUGAUUGUAUGGUACGUGGUACGAUGGGGGAACUCACUAAGCUUCGUGCUUACAGUUUACAGUUUUGGUUUCAGGUACCUCUUCAGCUAAGGGGAAGGAGUUGGCACGGUAGCAGCACAUCAUACACACACUCUUUGUUUUCCGCAUGAUGGAUAUUCUGGGAUUGUACUCUGACAUGUUACUAAUUUUAUGACUUGGGUUUUCAGACAUGAUACAUUGUUUUAUGAGAUGAUGUGAUUUCACGGUAUUUUCUUAUGAAUGUUUUUAUGAGUCAGCUAAUUAAAAUGAAAUUUUUGGACUUGAAAAUUAGGUCGUUACACAAACUUUUUCGGAUUCAGAUAUGGGAGGAUGUACUCUUUAUAGGAAAAGUACAAGUGGCGGAUGUGAGUUAUUGGAUGGGAAACUUGUAAGUUGACAAUCGAAAAAGAAAACAUGUGUUGCAAUUUCAACUGCUGAAGCUGAGUAUGUUACAGCUGCCGCUUGCACUUCGCAAAUCAUAUGGAUCCAGAGCCAAUUGCGUGAUUAUGCAAUUAACAUGAAGAAGAUUCCAUUGUAUUGUGAUUCACAAAGUGCUAUACGCAUUUGUCAUAAUCCAAUACAACAUUCGAAAACUAAACACAUUGCACUUCGUUAUCAUUUUAUUAAGGAUCAUGUGGAAGAUGGAAAUAUUGUAGUUCAUUUUGUGAAAACAACUGAUCAGCUUGCUGAUAUUUUCACAAAACAAUUGGAUGAAAAAUCAUUUGUUAGAAUUUUGACAGGAUUGGGCAUGAUUGAAUCAAGUUAUGUUCCAGGACUAAUUUCGAAAGAAUGACAAAGAAGGAAGUUGCCAAAGUGUCGAUUCAGAGACAAUGCAGAAUGAUUCAGAGUCUUAUAGUAUUAAUCAUUCAGAGGUUACUGGUCAUGUUAAGCGCUUCGACACACUUCGUUUUCGUAAAUUGGAGUUGAAAAUUUUCGUUAGUUUGGUACAUUCUUAAAAUUUUCGUUAGUUUGUCUUUAUUUUCGAAAAAUUGAAAAACACAAAAAUAUUUUCAUUUGUUUGUAUUUCUUGUCGAAAAAAAAUAUCAAAAAGAUUUUAUUUUGUUAUUUGUUUUAAUUUUAGAAAAACAUAAAAUCACAAAAAUAUUUUUCUUUCUUUUCAAAAAUAUAAAAUCCAAAAAGAUUGUUGUUUCUUUGAUCUUUCUUAAGUGCAGGUUCUCACGAAUAUUUUUGAGGGUCAUGCUUGCUUUUCUAAGGGAAGGUAUGUUUUCAAAAUUUCAUUGUACUAGUUAAGUUGUCCCUAGAAGCAUGCUGCAACAUGUAGACCCAAGCCUCCAGUGACUCAAUGUGUGAUUUAGAAAGCCUUAAUGAAAUUUUUUGUUCCGAAAGUUUCUUCCCAAUAAGGCUUGCAUUCACAUUAGUCAACUGAGCUACCUUACUCUUCUCAAAUGAGAUAAGAGUUUACUGUUUGGUCCAUUCAUAACAAAGGUCAAUCGAUUCUUGAAUCAUUUUUUUAUCUUAAAUUUCUGUCACUUUUCACACACAAUGACGUAUGUCCAAGAGGUCAUUGAACAAUCCAAUCAUGACUUAGACAUAUCAAAACUCUGUGUUAAUGAUCUUGAUUCAUGAGGCCAUGAUGAAAGUGAAACCCAAUUUUCUAACAAAUUAAGGAAUUGACGAGGAACUAUGUUCCAGAUUUUCACGAAACAUUUGUUUCAAUACCAAAAAUUUUGAUACUCUAAAUCAUAUUCUUUGUUUUGAGUGGUCUUGAUCAAAUGUUCGAAGCCUACGACAUUUGUUUCCCAAUAGGAUCCAGUUACAAAAUUUAUUUUCUGCAUAUGAUCUCCAUGUGAGUAUCAAUUCUUAACCUUUGUCACUUUCAAAUAUUUUCCAAAGCAUACUUGUCACUGACUGCACUGGUCAAACAAGUAAUUUCUGUUGCAAUUAUUCACCUUAUGUUAAGGAUGAAAUGUAACGAACUUUUUGAGCUACCCACGAAGCCUUGAAAAAGAAGCCCUUUGAUACUUAUCUAUAAGUUUUCAAUUGUAAUUCAUGGGAAACCACACAAGCAAUUGAUUAUCUCUCUUGAUAAUUAACGAAGUAACCUUUUCCUGGGGUUUAACAACUUUCGUGUUAAAAUUUUAUUUUUGACAUCACAGAUCCAAAUUUUUCGUUAAAAUUGAUUCUUAUCUUAUUUCAUUGGCACAUUGCACUCACGAAAUCCUUGAGGUUACGAGUAAUACCAACUCAGGCUGAAGAUUUCACAAGACUGGAAAAUGAAUUCGUUUCUAAGCCCAAAAACGAAAGAGGCUAACCUCCAUGCCGAAGUUUUUCGAUCUUAUCCACUUGGUACUCAUGUACAGUUUUGAUGUAACCAUUUGGCAACUUGUUCUGAGUUUCAAGGUAUUUUAUAUGACAUGGCGUGUAUAACGGCCAGUGGUGCAAUUUUCAAGGAAGGAUGUGGCAAACUCAUUAAUGAAAUCAUUUACAAUUCUUUUGGGGUUACAUAUAAAAGGAAAUUAUUUUUCCUUUGAUCAUUACGCUUUCAAAAACUCUCAGACGAACAAAAGCCCUAAUUCUCAAUUUCUCCAAAUUCUCUUCAAGAUUUCAACAAUGGCUGCUACCCAAAACACCUCUACUGACAAAGUUCUUUCACAACCAAUCAUGAAGAUCCAAACUACUAAUUACCAGGUUGAGGGUGAUAUUUCACUAUACCCUGAGGAGUUGAAGAUGUUGAUAGUUGCUCUUCAAAAUUCUGGUCUUGCUACUGUUUUGUUCGACUAUUUCGCAACUCCGAUAACAUGGUUAUCCAUGGAUGCUUCAACUGCUUCCUACAACAAGGCUACAUAUGUGAUUACUUUUAAUCUUGUGAAUGAGAAAUGGAUUCGUCUGACCAAGAAGAUGUUCACUAAGUUCUUGAAUAUCCCCAAUUCUCUACCAUUCUUCAAACCAAAUAAUCAUCAUAUCAUGUUUAUGUUCAACGAGAUGGGACAUCAGACCCUACUCACAAAAAUCAUUGAUUUCAAGAAGUCCGGAUUACCAUGUAUAUGGAAUUUCUUCUUUGGCAUUUAUCUUCGGUGGCUAACUGGAAAAAGUGUUAGUCUCGACAAAGGAAGACUUGAAGUCUACGCAAUGGUGAUAGGAUUAUACUACGAUCUCAGUGUUGACUAUGCAACUAAAUUAUGGACGGAGUUUGUGAAAAGCCUGGAGAAUACUAAUAUGGUGAAGGGAAUCUCCUGUGCGAGGUAUUGGAGUCUCAUUCUUGAGAAAAUUUACGAAAAAGAGGGAAUUCAAGUUCCUGAUUGUAACGCCUGUAGAUCAGGGCUAGUCAAUUUAGAGACGAUAAACAUCAAAAAUAACUUUUUGAUGGAAGAUUAUCUAGAAGGAUUAAUCUUAAUUAAGUUGUAGUAUAUGUUACAAGGAUUCCAUACAUAUAAAGAACUCCGAAAUCCGAGUUAUAACGAAGAAGUUAUGACCCGUCGAAGUUUCGCGACAGAAUCAUCAUGACACAGCGCGACAUAAAUAGUGAAUUUACGUUUGAGCGAUAUUUGGCCUUAUCAAUCUAAAUGAAAGUCGUAGAAUACGUUAAACCGAGAGCGUGCGUAAAAAGAAUGCCCAAAUCUGACUUUGUAUGAGGAAGUUAUGAUUUUUCUAAGUUUCAGCUUAGCAGUAUGUAGCCCAAAGUUCGACUUUGAGAUCGAGCGGUUUUUAGCCGAAACAAUCUAAACGAGAAUUGAAGAUCUCAUCAAUGGCAGUUCAACGGUAAAUAGACAGAUGAAAACGGACGUCGGAUGAAGAAGUUAUGAAUUUAUAACGGAGUUUUCAUGUCCCGGCUUACUAAAAAUAAUAUAUUUAUAAUAUAUUAAAAAUAAAGUCAAAAUUAGCCAAUGGAGUCUAAAGGAGAGUUGUAGAGCAUAAUCUCACCUACGCGUGGAUAUAAAGAAUGUCAAAAACGAAGCUCGUAUGCGAAAGUUAUGAAUUUUUGAAGUUCGGGGCGUGAACCCCAAGGCUGUGUCAAAGCUCAUGAGGUGAACAUAUGUAGUUCAUGAGGUGAGCCUAGCUCACGAGGUGAGAAUUAGUGGCUCACGAGGUGAACAUAUGAUGGAUCUCUUCCAGGGCAAGUGGUCAUGACGAACGCAAUGACGUAUCGAGCUCACGAGGUGAGUAUAUGUAGCUCACGAGGUGAACAUUAGAAACUCACGAGGUGAACCCAAGAAAUUCACCCUAUAAAUUGAAUUCAAGGGGCAGCUGAGUUUGGUUGCUCAUAUCUUACUCUCCCAUUCCCGAUACUCUUUCUACUCCCUAUUUUAACCACCCGAAGCCCCGAUAUCAUUCCCGAGCCCCAAAGCAAGUCCUUAAGCCCUGAAGAUCCAGAGGAGUAAAGUUUCCGAGCCGAAGCUCUCCCCGCGAGAAGCCAAUUUUUGUGAAUAUCUUCCAGAUCUACCGAAGAAUACUACUUCUACAAGUCGUAACGCUGUCCGAUCAUCUUCUGAUCAAGUGAGUGUAUAGUCACUUUCUUCUUACACAUAAAUAUUAAGUCUUUGCUAUGAAAUACGUGUUAUGUGUGUAUAUAUUUGUUGUUUAUUUGAGAUAAUUGUGGAAUGGAUAAAUUAUAUAGGUUUUAAUGAGUUAAACAGUAUACGUAUUUUGUAUCUACGAAUAUGUUGGGUAGAGCAUGGGUAGAUGAGAUUGUUGGUAUGGGAUAAAAGAUGAUUUGGAUCAUAAGAUAAAAGGAUAAAGAGAUAAACUUGUUAUAGAUUCAGGAGUAUGGAUUAGAUCAAGAGGUUAGUUUUAGAUUUAGGAAUAUAGAUUAGGUAAUGAGGUAAAUUUUAGAUCUGGGAGUACGGAUUAUGUAUUUUUGAACUAAGUGUUCAUCCGAUAGGGUAUCAUGUGCAUAGUCCCUUUCAUGGACAUAAUUGUAAUAAAAGUAUUGAUUAAAGUAUUAAUUAUAUAUGUAUGUGAAGUAUUUGUUAUUGCCCGAAAUACGUGUUAUAUAUAUAAUUGAUAAUAUACAGCGUACAAACCAGUUAUGGUCCAAUAUGUGUUAAGAUGUGUAUAUAUGAUAUUAUUGCUUAAAACUUUGUGUUAAGUAUACUCAUAGUUAGCGUGUCCAAAUGGAGAUAGUAUCGAAAAUUGAUUAUAGGCAUCGUAGGCUUUCCUAGUGAUGGGUUAAGGCUUAAAUAGGGAUGUUUAGUUCCAUUAAGUUUGGACAUUGGAUAGCCUCUUAUUAAGAGUACGUGUGUUGCGAGAUUGAUGAUUGGUGGAGUACGUCCUACGUACAAAAGUACAUUUUAUGUACGAAGUCCUUUUCAAAGCUCUGUGUCUUGGGUGCUGCUUGUGCCAAGGUACUAUUAUGUUCUCGGGUAUGAGUCUUUCGCAUAACAGAGUACUAUAAUGUGCCAGAAGUACUAUCAUGUACAAAGUCUUUUUGACAAUUUUGUGUGUCAGUUACAGGGGCGUACGGGAAUACUCUAUUAGUAUUUUCCCAUACUUUUAUUUUCAGAGAGCUUUGGAGUCAGCGUUUCUUUUAUGAAGUGAUCGACUGAGCUUCAUAUGUCAGCGUUUUCUUUCACGAAGUAAUUAAGGGAACUUCAUAGACUUCCUAAUAAAGUGUGUUGGUAAUAGACCACUUCUAGGUAUGUCUGGUGUUAUAUUGCUGGAUAGGGUGCGUCUGGGGGUGAAAUACCUCAUGUAUUUAGACCACAGCCUAGGCAUUAGUCGGUGUUUCCAUUUCCGAUGCCGGAUAGGGUGAGUCUGGGGGUUCAGACCACAGCCUAGGCUUUAGUCAGCGUUUCCAUUGCUGGAUAGGGUGCGUCUGGGGGUUAUAUACCUCACGAUAUUCAGACCACAGCCUAGGCAUUGAUAACUUACCAUGACUUAACUGUCUUGUGGUUCUUUCUUUUACGAACGAAGGUUCGUGGUGAAAGUUAUUCCAUUCCCCUCAAUUGAAGUCUUUAUUGAUCCACGUUUGCUGCCAUGGAAUUUCCUAAGCAACUUCGUCAGUUUGUGGUUCAUAUCGAUUCCUUAGGCUAGAUCACGUAAGAUCAUUGUAUAGGGUCAGUAUGUGGGGAUCGACGGGAUGGGAUAUAUUGUUUUAGAAAUAUGAUUUAUAUGUGUUUAUAAUAUUAGUGGUUUUGCAGGAUCGAGAUAUACUUUAUUAUCACAUUGUUUGACUAAGAGCUUUCCUACUCUAUGUUCCUUAGGUGAUUGGGUUCACCAGGGAUAUUCGAACUAAGUGUUCAUUAGAUAUCUGAACUUAGUAUUCAUCAGGGAUAUUUGAACUAAGUGUUUGUGAACUAGGUGCUCAUUGGGUAAUAUUAGAGCUAAGUGUUCAUUAGGUGUUCUUGAACUAGGUGUUCAUUAAUUAUUGUGAACUGCGUGUUCACCAGAGGUAAUCUAAGAACCUUGGCAGCACUGGACUUUGUGCCAGUUCCUUAGGGAAAUCCUUAGGAAUGAAUGGGAGAAGGGUAAUCGGAUCUUAGGAUAAAUCUUUAAUAAAUAAGUAGAGAUAAUGGGGGUGGGUAAUUGGAUUGAUUGUUUGAUAAUUGAAUAUAAUAAUUAUAUUAUUGUGGGUUGAAAACCCUAUAUGCUCACCAGGCUCCCAUGCCUGACCCUUUCAGUUUUCUUUAUAUUACAAGUUAUGGUACGAGAGCAUAAAUUGGCUGACAUAAUGAGAGAUUUUGGAUUAUAAGCCAGUAGUUAUGAAUAACUAUUGUAAGGUCUAUUUUUGUUCUGUUUAUGCUUAUGGUCUGUAUUGAACAUGACAUCCCGAGAUUUUGUUAUAUAAUGAAAAUACAUUUAUUUAAAGAAAUGCUUUGAUAAAUUCUUAUCAUAUUUUGUUUUGGGAACAAAUUCUGCAACUGUUUUCUUUAAAAGAUUAUUCUGAUUUUAAAAAUAAAGCAUAAACAAAUCGGUCUCUUCUGGCUGUGAAAUUGUGGAUGUCACACUGAUAAUGAAGAAAAGGUGGACUUUACAAAGUAUCACUUUCCAAAGUCAGUCGAGGAUGAUUCGAAAAUUUUCCAUACAAUUGCCAGAAUUCCAGAUGACAUGUUGAAGAAGGUUGAUCCAACAAAUAAAGUGUUUGUAAACUAUUUGAAGACCAUCAAACCUGAUGUCGAAACUGGGGUGUUACUUGAAGUUGAUGCAGGGUCUUCAAAACAAUCAAAGAAAUCGAAAAAGAGUGAUGGUGUUGCUCUUGUUUCUGAAAGCCAUAAAAGGCUAACUUUCCAAAGAAAAAUGAUACUGAUAAAGUAAAGGACUUGAAGAAAGAUGUGAUAGAGAAGGCAUUGAUUAUUGCUGAAUCAUCGAAGGAAUUAGUAACUUCAAAAUUCGGUGUUUUGAAAAGAUUGAGGAAGUCAUCUAAUGAUUCAUCUUCAAUCAUACGAAAGGCUCAGUUAAAUCGAAAAGGGAUAAAGAAUCGUAAAAUACCAGCUCCUGUCUCUCCAAAGUCGAAAAAGAGAAGAGCUGAUGAUGUAGCAAAGCAUAUUUGCAUGAAGAGCAAGAAACGAAAAUUGUUGUUUCAUGACGAGUCAUUAGAAAGCGAGAUUGUACCAGAUACUCCUUUGGGAUCAACUUCUCCAAAGGCAUCUACUCCCAUCAUUUCUUCGUUAGCUUCACCAACCAUCACCAUUUUCACCACUAUUUAUAUUCCACUCGAAAUUGGUGUUACCAAGUCAGUUUCUGAGGAGGUACCCAUUUCUGACUUUCGUACAAACGUAUCUAAUACGGGUAUCGGAGUCAUUAUGAGUGUUGACAAUACGAAUCUUGUUUUUGAAGCUAUUCCUCUUAUCACUUCCUCUAUAGUUUCUUCGACUAUAGAUACUUCCUUACCUCCUUUCUGUUGGAUUAAUGUUUAAGUCCAUAACUAUAUUUGGUAUGUACUUGACCCGACCCGGCAUGGUCCAUUUGGGUUGCACUUCACCGACACAAUUUAUAUGGAUAGUCUUUUGAGAAUAGUAUAUUUAUGAUUAAUAUUAAUAUAUUAUAAGUUCUAAUAUAUUAAUAUGGAAUCAUAUUAUUUAAUUAGUAUUGAUCAAGAAUUAAUUUAGAAUUAAUUAAGUGAUCAAAAGUAACUAAUUAAAUAUGGACUCUUCUAUAUAGAAGAAUGGGCCAAGUUCAUUUAGGUUGGGCUAAGCUUUUAUGGAUAGUCCAUGGAGCUUUAAACCCAUUGAUACUAUGUAAAUGAAAGGUCAUGGGUAUUAGGGUUUACAUGGAUGUAACCCUAAUCCUUCAUAAUAUAUAAAGGGGUCCUUGGUUCACAAAAUUGGAACAAGUGUGUGAAAAUAAGAGUGGGCCAAUUUUAGUGUGCAUACAUAUUCUCUCAAGUUCUUCCAAGGUGUUUUGGUGAUUUGUGAUUCCAUUUGAGGCUUCCACACUAUUGGGGCUAAGCUCUUAAAGCUUGAAGACAUCAAGCUACAUCAAAAGGUAUGUCAUCUAACUAGAACUUUGUAGUAUAGGUGCUUCAUAAUAUGCUAGUUAGGAUGAAACCUUGGAAUAGUUAAUAUUUGCAUGUAUAAUAGAGAAAACAUAGAUCCAAGGUUUAUAGGGUUUCAUGUACACCAUAGGACUGUUAGAAUGCUCAAACCCCAAUAAUGGUAUCAGAGCCAUGGGUUGUUUUCUGUUAUAUUGAUGCAAAUGUUUUAUUUUCAAUGUUGGAAAAAAAGGAAAAAAAAGAUGACGUUNAUGACGUUUGUCAAAUUUUAAGAUAAUUACUUGUUUUUGUGAAAAACUAAUUAUUAGUAAAAUUUGAAUCAUUUGCUAUAUGAGUUGAAUUAGGUCAAAUUUAGUAAAAGAUAAAAUGAUAUGAUUAUUUUAUUAGUUGUAAAAGUUUGAUCUAAAGAGUUUUUUGAAACCUCCAUAAGUUAUGGGUAUUAAAAGGUUUAAAAAAAA